RNAcentral lists this ribosomal RNA (597 nucleotides) under Triticum aestivum (bread wheat). RNAcentral's name for it is "partial small subunit ribosomal RNA". Lineage: Eukaryota; Viridiplantae; Streptophyta; Magnoliopsida; Poales; Poaceae. The record is from RNAcentral.
AUGACUGCCGGCGCCGGGAGCGCGGGCGCGUUCCGGCGGGCGGUCGACAGGGCGUGCGCGGCCGCCAGGGGGGCGCGGCGCGCGCUGGCGCGGUUCGCGCCGCGGCCGUCGGCGUUCGGCGCGGCGGCGGACGCGGAGGCCGCGGCGGUGCGCGGGGUCCGCAACGCGCGCACGUUCCGGUACCACUACGCCUCGCUGCAGUGGGCGCUCCUCCUCGCGUCGCUGGCCGCGGCGGGGCACCGGGCGUCGGUGCUCUUCCUCAUGGCCGCCUCCAAGGUCCUCCUCGUCUGCCUCGGCCUCCUCGCGCCGUUCCCGCGCUUGGCGCUGCUCCGCCGGCUCGUCGCCGCGGCGUUCGUCGCGCUCGUGCUCGCCGACAUCGCCGCGGCCGGCGCCGUGGCCAACCUCAUGGCCGCGCUGGCGGUGGGCGUCCCGGUCAUCGUGCUCCACGCCUCGUUCCGCGUCCGCGACGACCUCGAGGGGCCCUCCACGGAGAACGGCGAGGAGGAGGCGGCGGUCGUGGAGAAGAGGGAGGACGGCGAUGCCGAGGCAGGCCCCACGCGGCGGUCCACGGCGGUGGCGCCACGAUCGCCAAAAUGA